Molecule: ribosomal RNA, 496 nt
Filed under: uncultured bacterium
Lineage: Bacteria
Description: partial 16S ribosomal RNA
Rfam family: Bacterial small subunit ribosomal RNA
Source: RNAcentral
GAUGAACGCUGGCGGCGUGCCUAAUACAUGCAAGUCGAGCGAACAGACGAGGAGCUUGCUCCUCUGACGUUAGCGGCGGACGGGUGAGUAACACGUGGAUAACCUACCUAUAAGACUGGGAUAACUUCGGGAAACCGGAGCUAAUACCGGAUAACAUGUUGAACCGCAUGGUUCAACAGUGAAAGACGGUUUUGCUGUCACUUAUAGAUGGAUCCGCGCCGCAUUAGCUAGUUGGUAAGGUAACGGCUUACCAAGGCAACGAUGCGUAGCCGACCUGAGAGGGUGAUCGGCCACACUGGAACUGAGACACGGUCCAGACUCCUACGGGAGGCAGCAGUAGGGAAUCUUCCGCAAUGGGCGAAAGCCUGACGGAGCAACGCCGCGUGAGUGAAGAAGGUCUUCGGAUCGUAAAACUCUGUUAUUAGGGAAGAACAAAUGUGUAAGUAACUAUGCACGUCUUGACGGUACCUAAGCAGAAAGCCACGGCUAACUACGU